UGGCUUGUCAAGCAGUGCCAUGUCUACACCUGGGAUCCGAACCGGCGAACCCUGGGCCGCCAAAGCGGAACGUGUGCACUUCAACUGCUGUGCCACUGGGCCGGCCCCAGGAAGUAUAUUUUUAAAGAGAGGGAAUUCUGGUAGGGGCACUUCUGUAGCCUCACCAAAGUGUCUGGCAGGAGAAAUUUCCAUCUCUAGAUUGAGGAAGAAGCUCAAAAGGACAAAGGCCAGUUAUGUUCAGAAGAGAUUAAUGACUACGCACUUGCUAUCGUGGAGAACAAAUUCCAUUCCUGAAUGCAAAGCAAGGAAGAUUAGCCCUGAGCUAACUACUGCCAAUCCUCCUCUUUUUGCUGAGGAAGACUGGCCCUGAGCUAACAUCCACGCCCAUCUUCCUCUACUUUAUAUGUGGGACGCCUACCACAGCAUGGCUUUUGCCAAGUGGUGCCACGUCCACACCCAGGAUCCCAAC
Molecule: long non-coding RNA, 469 nt
Filed under: Equus asinus (donkey)
Lineage: Eukaryota; Metazoa; Chordata; Mammalia; Perissodactyla; Equidae
Description: lncRNA (ENSEASG00005032932.1)
Source: RNAcentral